UCAGGACGAACGCUGGCGGCGCGCCUAAAACAUGCAAGUCGAACGAGAAGCCCGGGCUUGCCCGGGUGGACAGUGGCGAACGGGUGAGUAACACGUGAGGAACCUGCCCCGAAGACCGGGACAACAUCGGGAAACCGUUGCUAAUACCGGAUGCCCUCGAAGAAUCGCAUGGUUCAUCGAGGAAAUGGAUUCCGCUUCGGGAUGGCCUCGCGGCCUAUCAGCUUGUUGGUGAGGUAACGGCUCACCAAGGCUUCGACGGGUAGCUGGUCUGAGAGGAUGUCCAGCCACACUGGGACUGAGACACGGCCCAGACUCCUACGGGAGGCAGCAGUUAGGAAUCUUGCGCAAUGGACGAAAGUCUGACGCAGCGACGCCGCGUGCGGGAUGAAGGCCCUCGGGUUGUAAACCGCUUUCAGCAGGGACGAAAUUGACGGUACCUGCAGAAGAAGCCCCGGCCAACUACGUGCCAGCAGCCGCGGUAAUACGUAGGGGGCUAGCGUUGUCCGGAUUUAUUGGGCGUAAAGAGCUCGUAGGUGGUUCGGUAAGUCGGAUGUGAAAUCUCCAGGCUCAACCUGGAGGGGUCAUUCGAUACUGCCGUGACUAGAGUUCGGUAGAGGAGUGUGGAAUUCCUGGUGGAGCGGUGAAAUGCGCAGAGAUCAGGAGGAACACCCGUAGCGAAGGCGGCACUCUGGGCCGAUACUGACACUGAGGAGCGAAAGCGUGGGGAGCGAACAGGAUUAGAUACCCUGGUAGUCCACGCCGUAAACGUUGGGCACUAGGUGUGGGGUUCUAUCGACGGAUUCCGUGCCGUAGCUAACGCAUUAAGUGCCCCGCCUGGGGAGUACGGCCGCAAGGCUAAAAC
This 862-nucleotide ribosomal RNA is filed under the name uncultured bacterium. RNAcentral describes it as "bacterial SSU rRNA". It matches the Rfam family "Bacterial small subunit ribosomal RNA", at positions 24 to 900 of the family's 1533-position model. The record is from RNAcentral.